AGCCUUCUGUAUCCGUGCUGAGAUUUCAUCACACACCAGACCACAAGGGCUGAUGAGACUUCCAAGA
Molecule: microRNA precursor, 67 nt
Filed under: Schistosoma mattheei
Lineage: Eukaryota; Metazoa; Platyhelminthes; Trematoda; Strigeidida; Schistosomatidae
Description: mir-3492 microRNA precursor family
Rfam family: mir-3492 microRNA precursor family
Source: Rfam by way of RNAcentral